GCCCCGCGGAGCCUCCGUCGGGCGAGGCCGCCCGGGCCUCCCGGCCGAGCCGGGGCUGCCGAGCCGCAGGGCGGGGCCCGGACUCCCGCAAAAUGGAGCGCCCGACCGCGCCCGCGAGCUCCUGUGGAGCGCUGUGCGGACCUUCCCGGAGCUUGCAAGGCUGGGGAAUUUCCUUCUGUAGGUUUGAGUGGAGAACUCUCGUCUUGAUAAUUCCAAAUUGGAUGCCUAAAGCUGCGACCAAAGACCAAAAUUUUCAGUCUGUUGUAGCGGUGACCUUUGCGAAUUUUUACACAUAA
Molecule: long non-coding RNA, 296 nt
Filed under: Castor canadensis (American beaver)
Lineage: Eukaryota; Metazoa; Chordata; Mammalia; Rodentia; Castoridae
Description: lncRNA (ENSCCNG00000005172.1)
Source: RNAcentral